This 301-nucleotide ribosomal RNA is filed under the name uncultured bacterium. Its description in RNAcentral is "partial 16S ribosomal RNA". It matches the Rfam family "Bacterial small subunit ribosomal RNA", at positions 509 to 807 of the family's 1533-position model. The record is from RNAcentral.
CAGUCGCCGCGGUAAUACGAGGGGGGCAAGCGUUGUUCGGAAUUAUUGGGCGUAAAGGGCGCGUAGGCGGUUUGACAAGUCUGAUGUGAAAUCUCUGGGCUCAACCCAGAGUCUGCAUCGGAAACUGUCGAGCUUGAGUAUGGGAGAGGUGAGUGGAAUUUCAGGUGUAGCGGUGAAAUGCGUAGAUAUCGGAAGGAACACCUGUGGCGAAAGCGGCUCACUGGACCAUUACUGACGCUGAGGCGCGAAAGCUAGGGGAGCAAACAGGAUUAGAUACCCCUGUAGUCCCUGUCUCUUAUAC